RNAcentral lists this ribosomal RNA (449 nucleotides) under uncultured bacterium. RNAcentral's name for it is "bacterial SSU rRNA". It matches the Rfam family "Bacterial small subunit ribosomal RNA", at positions 329 to 794 of the family's 1533-position model. The record is from RNAcentral.
GUCCAGACUCCUACGGGAGGCAGCAGUGGGGGAUAUUGCACAAUGGGGGAAACCCUGAUGCAGCGACGCCGCGUGAGGGAAGACGGUUUUCGGAUUGUAAACCUCUGUCUUUGGGGACGAAUUGAGACGGUACCCAAGGAGGAAGCUCCGGCUAACUACGUGCCAGCAGCCGCGGUAAUACGUAGGGAGCAAGCGUUAUCCGGAUUUACUGGGUGUAAAGGGCGUGUAGGCGGGCCUGUAAGUCAGAAGUGAAAUCUGGGGGCUUAACCCCCAAACUGCUUUUGAAACUGCGGGUCUUGAGUGAUGGAGAGGCAGGCGGAAUUCCCAGUGUAGCGGUGAAAUGCGUAGAUAUUGGGAGGAACACCAGUGGCGAAGGCGGCCUGCUGGACAUUAACUGACGCUGAGGCGCGAAAGCGUGGGGAGCAAACAGGAUUAGAUACCCGAGUAUC